RNAcentral lists this ribosomal RNA (93 nucleotides) under Paenibacillus rhizosphaerae. RNAcentral's name for it is "partial 23S ribosomal RNA". It matches the Rfam family "Bacterial large subunit ribosomal RNA", at positions 2832 to 2925 of the family's 2925-position model. The record is from RNAcentral. Lineage: Bacteria; Bacillati; Bacillota; Bacilli; Caryophanales; Paenibacillaceae.
GACCCCUUGUAGACGACGAGGUAGAUAGGUUGGAGGUGGAAGUGCAGCAAUGCAUGGAGCUGACCAAUACUAAUCGGUCGAGGGCUUAUCCAA